AUACGUGAGUAACCUACCUUUAACUCUGGGAUAAGCCUGGGAAACUGGGUCUAAUACCGGAUACGACCAAUCUCCGCAUGGGGUGUUGGUGGAAAGCGUUAUGUAGUGGUUAUAGAUGGGCUCACGGCCUAUCAGCUUGUUGGUGAGGUAACGGCUCACCAAGGCGACGACGGGUAGCCGGCCUGAGAGGGUGACCGGCCACACUGGGACUGAGACACGGCCCAGACUCCUACGGGAGGCAGCAGUGGGGAAUAUUGCACAAUGGGCGCAAGCCUGAUGCAGCGACGCCGCGUGAGGGAUGACGGCCUUCGGGUUGUAAACCUCUGUUAGCAGGGAAGAAGAGAGAUUGACGGUACCUGCAGAGAAAGCGCCGGCUAACUACGUGCCAGCAGCCGCGGUAAUACGUAGGGCGCGAGCGUUGUCCGGAAUUAUUGGGCGUAA
This 441-nucleotide ribosomal RNA is filed under the name uncultured bacterium. RNAcentral describes it as "bacterial SSU rRNA". It matches the Rfam family "Bacterial small subunit ribosomal RNA", at positions 113 to 563 of the family's 1533-position model. The record is from RNAcentral.